This 482-nucleotide ribosomal RNA is filed under the name uncultured organism. RNAcentral's name for it is "bacterial SSU rRNA". It matches the Rfam family "Bacterial small subunit ribosomal RNA", at positions 28 to 507 of the family's 1533-position model. The record is from RNAcentral.
GAUGAACGCUGGCGGCGUGCUUAACACAUGCAAGUCGAACGGAGUGCCUAUGAAGGAGUUUUCGGACAACGGAAUAGGUUACUUAGUGGCGGACGGGUGAGUAACGCGUGAGGAACCUGCCUUGGAGAGGGGAAUAACACAUCGAAAGAUGUGCUAAUACCGCAUAAUGCAUAUGAAUCGCAUGAUUUAUAUGCCAAAGAUUUAUCGCUCUGAGAUGGCCUCGCGUCUGAUUAGCUAGUAGGUGGGGUAAAGGCCUACCUAGGCGACGAUCAGUAGCCGGACUGAGAGGUUGACCGGCCACAUUGGGACUGAGACACGGCCCAGACUCCUACGGGAGGCAGCAGUGGGGAAUAUUGGGCAAUGGGCGCAAGCCUGACCCAGCAACGCCGCGUGAAGGAAGAAGGCCCUCGGGUUGUAAACUUCUUUUAUUUAGGACGAAGAAAGUGACGGUACUAAAUGAAUAAGCCACGGCUAACUACGUG